Molecule: long non-coding RNA, 467 nt
Filed under: Mus pahari (shrew mouse)
Lineage: Eukaryota; Metazoa; Chordata; Mammalia; Rodentia; Muridae
Description: lncRNA (MGP_PahariEiJ_G0003358.1)
Source: RNAcentral
CUGGACAAGAUGGCCCUUCUGAGUCAGUCUGGACUUCAGACUGAGGCGCACUCCCAGAAUCCUUUUGUUUCUUCUUCUUGCCAAAUUCCUUCCUAGAACGUCCAACUCACUGUUGAAUAGAAGUAUCUAUUGAAGGUAGUAUUCUCAUCUUCCUAUUCAUCUGUGGGCUUUCGUGGAUGCCCUCUAUCGGCAGGAGAUGUCUCUAGUUUGUGAGAAGUUGACAAAGACCAGCAACGUGGACCACGCCUAGCGGGACACACCUUUAAAGCCAGCAGAGGCAGGAGGAUCUGUGUUAUUUCGAGGGCCAUCUGGUCUACAUAACAGUAUCUGUUAUGUUGCUCUAGCUGUCCUGGAACUCCAUAUACAGACCAGGCUGGCCCUAAAGUACCAGAAAUCCUCCAUCCUCCUGCCUCUGCUUCCUGAGUGCUGGGACCAAGUGUGAGCUGCUACAGUACCCAGCUUUAAUA